AUGGAAAAUAGUGUGUCGCGGGGGGGUAUGGAUUCCCGUCAGGAAAAAAAAAAAAAAAAAAAAAAAACGGGGGGGGGGGGGGGGGGGGGGGUCCCCGGGGGGCCCGCAGCGGGAGGGGCGGGGGGGGGGGGCGGGGNNNNNNNNNNNNNNNNNNNNNNNNNUAUGGGUUCCCGUAAGGAAAAAAAAAAAAAAAAAAAAAAAACGAAGGAUCGGAGGGAGAAGCUGGAUCCUGGGGGUGCUGCAGGGGAAGGAGCGGGGUUGGGGUGCGGGGUGCCUCAGUGGAGGUGGGCUUCCGCUUGCUGGCUGCCGGCACUCAGACGUAGCUGCCCCGGCACAGUACGGUGGCAGGGCUGUUGUUACCAACGCCCACCCUCGCAAAGGCCCGUCAGGGGUCUGCCUCACCCCCAGUUCCCCGCUUCCCUCAGCCCCCACCGCCCCAAGCCAGACCCGGCACCCGCGGGUCCCCCCAGAGCCGGGCACAGCCCCAAGCGCGUGUCACUAGAGGGCACUCGGGUUAUUUUUUCCGGCGAGGCUGCGGUGUUGGUAUUCCUGACACGCGCCGUGCUCCUGGAGCGGAUCGGCGAUGCCCUCCUGUGGGGCUGGGAGGACUUUCGGGGGGCUGCCACGGAGCGGGGCGGCGGUGCCAAGGGGUGCUGCUGGCGGAUCCGGGAGGGCGGCGGGCCCUGCGUGCCACCAGCCCUGCUCCCGCAUGCCAGCCCUCCGGCUGGCCCCGGGGGAGCCCGGGGGAAGGAGAGGGGCCCCAAGCCCGGGCUUUCAGCAGGCCACGGCUGCAGUGAGCUGAGCUUCAAGCAGAACAAGAGCACUGGCACCGCCAGCACUCGGUGCUGGGGCUGCAGGGGGCUGUGGGGCCGUGACGAAUUCCCUGGUGGCUCCCCCAGCCCCGGAGCAGCCGUGUGGGAGAAGCACCCGCGGCAGCCUCGGCCUCACCGCCAGCCCCCAGCCCUCGCCAGGAGCAAAGCACGCCUCCCUCCUCCGGCUGUGCACGUUUCCCUCUCGCAAAUGACGUCUCAUUAG
Molecule: long non-coding RNA, 1035 nt
Filed under: Anser cygnoides (Swan goose)
Lineage: Eukaryota; Metazoa; Chordata; Aves; Anseriformes; Anatidae
Description: lncRNA (ENSACDG00005007098.1)
Source: RNAcentral